GGAGGAUCCAAGCGUUAUCCGGAAUCAUUGGGUUUAAAGGGUCCGUAGGCGGUUUAAUAAGUCAGUGGUGAAAGCCCAUCGCUCAACGGUGGAACGGCCAUUGAUACUGUUAAACUUGAAUUAUUAGGAAGUAACUAGAAUAUGUAGUGUAGCGGUGAAAUGCUUAGAGAUUACAUGGAAUACCAAUUGCGAAGGCAGGUUACUACUAAUGGAUUGACGCUGAUGGACGAAAGCGUGGGUAGCGAACAGGAUUAGAUACCCUGGUAGUCCACGCCGUAAACGAUGGAUACUAGCUGUUGGAAGCAAUUUCAGUGGCUAAGCGAAAGUGAUAAGUAUCCCACCUGGGGAGUACGUUC
RNAcentral lists this ribosomal RNA (356 nucleotides) under uncultured organism. Its description in RNAcentral is "bacterial SSU rRNA". It matches the Rfam family "Bacterial small subunit ribosomal RNA", at positions 527 to 887 of the family's 1533-position model. The record is from RNAcentral.